RNAcentral lists this ribosomal RNA (465 nucleotides) under Vreelandella stevensii. RNAcentral's name for it is "partial 16S ribosomal RNA". It matches the Rfam family "Bacterial small subunit ribosomal RNA", at positions 338 to 795 of the family's 1533-position model. Lineage: Bacteria; Pseudomonadati; Pseudomonadota; Gammaproteobacteria; Oceanospirillales; Halomonadaceae. The record is from RNAcentral.
CCUACGGGUGGCAGCAGUGGGGAAUAUUGGACAAUGGGGGGAACCCUGAUCCAGCCAUGCCGCGUGUGUGAAGAAGGCCCUCGGGUUGUAAAGCACUUUCAGUGAGGAAGAACGCCUGGUGGUUAAUACCCAUCAGGAAAGACAUCACUCACAGAAGAAGCACCGGCUAACUCCGUGCCAGCAGCCGCGGUAAUACGGAGGGUGCGAGCGUUAAUCGGAAUUACUGGGCGUAAAGCGCGCGUAGGUGGCUUGAUAAGCCGGUUGUGAAAGCCCCGGGCUCAACCUGGGAACGGCAUCCGGAACUGUCAAGCUAGAGUGCAGGAGAGGAAGGUAGAAUUCCCGGUGUAGCGGUGAAAUGCGUAGAGAUCGGGAGGAAUACCAGUGGCGAAGGCGGCCGUCUGGACUGACACUGACACUGAGGUGCGAAAGCGUGGGUAGCAAACAGGAUUAGAUACCCCAGUAGUC